This 253-nucleotide ribosomal RNA is filed under the name uncultured bacterium. RNAcentral describes it as "partial 16S ribosomal RNA". It matches the Rfam family "Bacterial small subunit ribosomal RNA", at positions 524 to 776 of the family's 1533-position model. The record is from RNAcentral.
GGCGGAGGAUGCAAGUGUUGUCCGGAAUCACUGGGCGUAAAGCGUCUGUAGGUGGUUUAAUAAGUCAACUGUUAAAUCUUGAGGCUCAACCUCAAAAUCGCAGUCGAAACUAUUAGGCUAGAGUAUAGUAGGGGUAAAGGGAAUUUCCAGUGGAGCGGUGAAAUGCGUAGAGAUUGGAAAGAACACCGAUGGCGAAGGCACUUUACUGGGCUAUUACUAACACUCAGAGACGAAAGCUAGGGUAGCAAAUGGG